Molecule: ribosomal RNA, 427 nt
Filed under: uncultured beta proteobacterium
Lineage: Bacteria; Pseudomonadati; Pseudomonadota; Betaproteobacteria
Description: bacterial SSU rRNA
Rfam family: Bacterial small subunit ribosomal RNA
Source: RNAcentral
AACGCGAAGAACCUUACCUACCCUUGACAUGCCAGGAACCUCGCAGAGAUGUGAGGGUGCUCGAAAGAGAGCCUGGACACAGGUGCUGCAUGGCUGUCGUCAGCUCGUGUCGUGAGAUGUUGGGUUAAGUCCCGCAACGAGCGCAACCCUUGCCAUUAGUUGCUACAUUUAGUUGGGCACUCUAAUGGGACUGCCGGUGACAAACCGGAGGAAGGUGGGGAUGACGUCAAGUCCUCAUGGCCCUUAUGGGUAGGGCUUCACACGUCAUACAAUGGCGCAUACAGAGGGUUGCCAACCCGCGAGGGGGAGCCAAUCCCACAAAGUGCGUCGUAGUCCGGAUUGUAGUCUGCAACUCGACUACAUGAAGUCGGAAUCGCUAGUAAUCGCGGAUCAGCAUGUCGCGGUGAAUACGUUCCCGGGCCUUGUA